GACAUUUAGGUUGCUUCCAUGUCUUGGCCGUUAUAAAUAGUGCUGCUAUGAACACUGGGGUACAUGUAUCUUUUCAAAUUAGUUUUUUCCAGAUAUAGAUCCAGAAGUGGGUUUGCUGCAUCGUAAGGUAAGUCUACUGUUCUCCAUAGGGCCUGCACCAAUUUAUAUUCCUACCAAGAGUGCGGGAGGGUCCCUUUUUCUCCAUACCUUCUCCAGCAUUUGCUAUUUCAUUUGCAGAGUUUUUAACGAUGGCCUUUCUGACGGGUGCGAGGUGAUGAUACCUUUGGAUUUCUCUAAUGAUUAGCGAUACUGAGCAUCUUUUCAUGUUCCUGUUGACCAUCAGUGUGUCUUCUUUGGAGCAAUAUUUAGGACAUCCGCUCAUUUUUAAAAAAUGACCUGGAAGAGAAAGGAAAACCAAUAAUGCAGGAAAGGGGGGAGAAACUGCUUGUUUUAGCAGCAGAGUUGGUACCAACAAUGUAAGUGGACAGACUGACUUGAAGCACAGAAUUCACCCACAGGAACUGGCAGGAAGGCAACGUGCGUCACUGCGAACGCUGCCAGGGAUUCAAUGAUGACUCAACACACACAGGUUAUCAAACACAGGGAUAAGACAGAAACACCAACCACAAAGGAAGAGGGGCUCGUGGAUCUGGAAGUGUGGCUGGGAUGGUUUAGAUGACUUCUGAGCUGUCAGUUACGUCGCUGCUGGAGGAGACCUGAAUGUCGGCCUCCUACACAGAAAUAAUUUUGGUCAGCAAGCACCAUCAAUAACAUUGUUAUCAACACGUGACAUCAGGUCCUGAAGAAGAUGGCGGAGUAGCAGGAUGUGAAGCUCACCUACUCCCACAAACACACUGAGGAUGCAUCUACCUGUGCCAUGAUUCACAGAAAACCUGCUGAAUUCUGGCAAAUCUUUCAGGAUUCUGAAAGAGCAAGAAAAUCUUCAUGAAGAAAAAAGGUAUGAGAAAAGAAAGAAGAUGAGAAAGGAAGCAGAAUGGGACCUGCACCCCAAGGAGGCAGAUGGAAAGAAAGGUCCAGGACCCUGAGAAGUUGCCCCACCGGCGAGGAAAUCAGCCAGGUCAGAGGAGAAACUCUCUAGAGUCUUGGAGGAGAACACAGCAGUCAGCGUGAAAAAGCAGGUAAAAUGGAACCAGUCCUCCACAGUCAGUGCUACCGCCCUGUGCUUCCUGACCAUCUGCUCACACCGUGUGGGUUGGGAACUGAAACUCAGGCUUUGGACAUCAGAAUCAGAGAGAGGUGGGGCUGGCUACAUGGGGAAAAAUGAGUUAGCCACAUGGAAACAGCCUGGAGGGACCAGAAAAUCUGUUUUAAAAAUCUGUUCCCAUAGAUCACUCAAAAGACCCCCCCAAAAAAUAAGUAAAAAUUAAAAAAUAAAAAGGAGUUCUCAUCAUGGUGCAGCAGAAAUGACUCUGACUAGGAACCAUGAGGUUGCGGGUCUGAUCCCCGGCCUCACUCAGUGGGUGAAGGAUACCGCAUUGCCAUGAGUUGUGUAGGUCACAGACUCAGCUGUAGUUUGGAUUGGACCCCUAGCCUGGGAACCUCCAUAUGCCGUGGGUACGGCCCUAAAAAGCAAAAAGCAAAAAAAAAAAAAAAAAAAAAAAAAAGCCACUCCCACCUCUGCUUAAAUUCUCAGGACAAUCCUGGGACAUAAGAGCUGUCCAAAGAGCCAGGGAAUUUCCCCUGUAGGCCCAAGAAGAGUCCUGAAGUUACUUAAUAAUGUUUCUGAACUUCUUUGUGCUCAUUAGAUCAGAAAUAAUUAAGUUUUCAAGAAAACAGGGGGGAAAAAAAUGCUCUCCUCUCAAACUGGUGGAGGCAAAGUGAGGGUAAGAAAGCCAAUUCCAAGUAACAAGUUGACUAUAGUGAUUUUUUUUAACUAAUAUGAUGAACUGUUCUUGUGACUCAAGAUCUUAUCUGGGCAUGUUUAUCAAAUAAUUCAUAAAAUUAUCUGCAAAAUAAGAAAACUGUAAAAUGUGUGGGAACUAAUUACUGCACAAUAUGCCAUGUGCAUAUUCAUGAUACCUAACAUUUUAUAAAAUUUCACAAUACAGAGUUUAAAUGAAAAAAACUUACAACUAUUAUUUUCUUCCAGGACUCUAAUUCUCAGAAAGCACUUCAGUAAAGGUCAAAAUGAUGUUGCCAGGAAACAUUACUGACCAAGUUCUAUGUGCUUUUGAAGCUAAUUAUCAAUCUCUUACACUAUAAUUUGAAACUGCCAGUUUUAAGCCUAAUUAUUCAAAUGUCAACGCUCUUACAGUCAACAUGAGAAAUAAAUUCUAUACAAUUCCUCCAGUUCCCAAAAAAAAGGAUUUCUAUAGUCAGAAAGAAGAAGUUCCCAUGUGGAGCAAUGGUUAACAAUCCUGACUAGUAUCCAUAAGGAUGCGGGUUCAAUCCCUGGCCUUGCUCAGUGGGUUAAGGAUCCAGUGUUGCCGUGAGCUGUGGUGGAGGUCGCAGACGCGGCUUGGAUCCCACGUUGCCGUGGCUGUGGUGUAGGCUGGCAGCUGCAGCUCUGAUUCGACCCCCAGCCUGGGAACCUCCAUAUACCACGGGUACGGCCCUAAAAAAA
Molecule: non-coding RNA, 2584 nt
Organism: Sus scrofa (pig)
Lineage: Eukaryota; Metazoa; Chordata; Mammalia; Artiodactyla; Suidae
Source: RefSeq, a predicted model, not a curated record